UACAGAGGGUGCGAGCGUUAAUCGGAAUUACUGGGCGUAAAGGGCGCGUAGGCGGCGUGGUAAGUCAGCUGUGAAAUCUCCGAGCUUAACUCGGAACGGUCAGCUGAUACUGCUGUGCUAGAGUACAGAAAGGGCAAUCGGAAUUCUUGGUGUAGCGGUGAAAUGCGUAGAUAUCAAGAGGAACACCUGAGGCGAAGGCGGGUUGCUAGGCUGAUACUGACGCUGAGGCGCGAAAGCUAGGGUAGCAAACGGG
This 253-nucleotide ribosomal RNA is filed under the name uncultured bacterium. RNAcentral's name for it is "partial 16S ribosomal RNA". It matches the Rfam family "Bacterial small subunit ribosomal RNA", at positions 524 to 776 of the family's 1533-position model. The record is from RNAcentral.